This 395-nucleotide ribosomal RNA is filed under the name uncultured bacterium. RNAcentral's name for it is "partial 16S ribosomal RNA". It matches the Rfam family "Bacterial small subunit ribosomal RNA", at positions 338 to 730 of the family's 1533-position model. The record is from RNAcentral.
CCUACGGGUGGCAGCAGUGAGGAAUAUUGGUCAAUGGGCGCGAGCCUGAACCAGCCAAGUCGCGUGAAGGAUGACUGCCCUACGGGUUGUAAACCUCUUUUAUCAAGGAAUAAAGCGAGCCACGUGUGCCUUUUUGUAUGUAUUUUAUGAAAAAGGAUCGGCUAACUCCGUGCCAGCAGCCGCGGUAAUACGGAGGAUUCGAGCGUUAUCCGGAUUUAUUGGGUUUAAAGGGAGCGUAGGUGGGUGGUGAAGUCAGUUGUGAAAGUUUGCGGCUCAACCGUAGAAUUGCAGUUGAUACUGGCUGCCUUGAGUGCGGUAGAGGUAGGCGGAAUUCGUGGUGUAGCGGUGAAAUGCUUAGAUAUCACGAAGAACUCCGAUUGCGAAGGCAGCCUACU